ACCAGACGAUGCGGUUACCGCGGCUGCUGGCACGGAGUUAGCCGGUGCUUCUUCUGUGAGUGAUGUCCUUCCUGCCGGCUAUUAACCCGCAGGCCUUCUUCCUCACUGAAAGUGCUUUACAACCCGAAGGCCUUCUUCACACACGCGGCAUGGCUGGAUCAGGGUUGCCCCCAUUGUCCAAUAUUCCCCACUGCUGCCUCCCGUAGGAGUCUGGGCCGUGUCUCAGUCCCAGUGUGGCUGAUCAUCCUCUCAGACCAGCUACGGAUCGUCGCCUUGGUGAGCCGUUACCUCACCAACCAGCUAAUCCGACAUAGGCUCAUCCGAUAGCGCGAGGCCCGAAGGUCCCCCGCUUUCCCCCGUAGGGCGUAUGCGGUAUUAGCCUGGGUUUCCCCAGGUUAUCCCCACUACCGGGCAGAUUCCUAUGCAUUACUCACCCGUCCGCCGCUCGCCACCAGGGAGCAAGCUCCCCGUGCUGCCGAUCGACUUGCAUGUGUUAGGCCUGCCGCCAGCGUUCAAU
RNAcentral lists this ribosomal RNA (517 nucleotides) under uncultured bacterium. RNAcentral describes it as "partial 16S ribosomal RNA". The record is from RNAcentral.